Molecule: long non-coding RNA, 786 nt
Organism: Hermetia illucens (black soldier fly)
Lineage: Eukaryota; Metazoa; Arthropoda; Insecta; Diptera; Stratiomyidae
Exons: 3
Source: RefSeq, a predicted model, not a curated record
GUGAUGUAGCGCGUUUCGCGGCCUUCAUUUCGGGUGUGUUUUCUGGAUUUCUCGUGUUGCAUGCAAUUCGGGUUUUUCACUGUGUGAUCUGAGCAUUCACGUUUGCAUGAUUUUCCCACAGCAGUGGGCCAGAGGGUGCAGUGAGUGACAGAGCUUUAUUGUGCAAAAAGGUUCAUUAAUGUUAAUUUCAUGCUUCCAAUGUGGUUUGUGCCAGUCAACAUUAGAAUUUUCCCCGGUCGCCAGCUGAAUUGAGAUAGGUCUCGUGCUACAAGUGCAGUGAUAGUAUCCAUUGUUGGAACCGCGGAGGAAUUUGAAGAGUUGUGUUACGGUAUCCAAGGAAAUUCCCUAACAAGUGGAUUGUUGAAAGUGAGUCUUUACAGUGGCGUAAAUACUUUCGAGGGGACCCCAAUACGACUCCGCUGGGAUUAACGCUGAAUUAGGACGAUCGUUAGCGUGGCUGAUGUCGAUAGUUCAUCGAGCCUGAUAACUGCAUGCCAAGGAUUUAAAUCGAAAACAUGUUCUUAUGUUAUGCUGACUUCAACAUAGCUUCAUCUCGCUCCUGUUUUUUUUGAUUCCAAAUUGGAAAGACGAACGAGCAAUCGUGAAGAGUUAUUGGCAAUAAUUAAUCUGAGAUGUCUGGAGUGGCUGAUCAAAGCAACAUCCGGAGCUAAUGCGUGUCCGUGCCGCGUGUGUUUAGGAUUUUUAUUGAGCAAUUUAACGGAUUCAACGCGGAUUUCGAUGCGCUGAGAGGGUGGCAUGGUGUGUUAGUUAGCGGCGGUUAUUAAU